GAUGAACGCUGGCGGCGUGCCUAAUACAUGCAAGUCGAGCGAACAGACGAGGAGCUUGCUCCUCUGACGUUAGCGGCGGACGGGUGAGUAACACGUGGAUAACCUACCUAUAAGACUGGGAUAACUUCGGGAAACCGGAGCUAAUACCGGAUAACAUGUUGAACCGAAUGGUUCAACAGUGAAAGACGGUCUUGCUGUCACUUAUAGAUGGAUCCGCGCCGCAUUAGCUAGUUGGUAAGGUAACGGCUUACCAAGGCAACGAUGCGUAGCCGACCUGAGAGGGUGAUCGGCCACACUGGAACUGAGACACGGUCCAGACUCCUACGGGAGGCAGCAGUAGGGAAUCUUCCGCGAUGGGCGAAAGCCUGACGGAGCAACGCCGCGUGAGUGAAGAAGGUCUUCGGAUCGUAAAACUCUGUUAUUAGGGAAGAACAAAUGUGUAAGUAACUAUGCACGUCUUGACGGUACCUAAUCAGAAAGCCACGGCUAACUACGUG
This 497-nucleotide ribosomal RNA is filed under the name uncultured bacterium. Its description in RNAcentral is "partial 16S ribosomal RNA". It matches the Rfam family "Bacterial small subunit ribosomal RNA", at positions 28 to 507 of the family's 1533-position model. The record is from RNAcentral.